AAUCAACGCUGGCGGCGUGCCUCAGACAUGCAAGUCGAACGAUUAAAGCUCCCUUCGGGGAGUGCAUAGAGUGGCGCACGGGUGAGUAACACGUAAGUAAUCUACCUUUGAGUGGGGAAUAACGUUCGGAAACGGACGCUAAUACCGCAUAAUGCAGCGGCAUCGCAAGAUGACAGUUGUUAAAGGAGCAAUCCGCUUAAAGAGGAGCUUGCGGCAGAUUAGCUUGUUGGUAAGGUAACGGCUUACCAAGGCUACGAUCUGUAUCCGGUCUAAGAGGACGGUCGGACACACUGACACUGAAUAACGGGUCAGACUCCUACGGGAGGCAGCAGUCGGGAA
RNAcentral lists this ribosomal RNA (339 nucleotides) under uncultured bacterium. RNAcentral's name for it is "bacterial SSU rRNA". It matches the Rfam family "Bacterial small subunit ribosomal RNA", at positions 32 to 361 of the family's 1533-position model. The record is from RNAcentral.